Non-coding RNA from Triticum urartu, 115 nucleotides. The record is from Rfam. NCBI's taxonomy places the organism in Eukaryota, Viridiplantae, Streptophyta, Magnoliopsida, Poales, Poaceae.
UAAGUACUCCCUCCGUCCAGAAUUACUUGUCAUCAAAAUGGAUGUGUCUAGAACUAAAAUACAUCUAGAUACAUCCAUUUCAAUAACAAGUAUUCUCGGACGGAGGGAGUACAAG